UUGAUGGUCAUGGAGAAUGAAGUCCUGUUUAUUGGCAGACCAGGGAUACAGCAUGGGCAGUAGCAGUGCAAGAUUCCUCCAAGCUAGCCUGCCAUUGUAGCUCAAUGCUGACCUGGAAUUCCCCCAUUAGAAUCAGAGGAGAGUUCAGUCUACAUGAUGCAUGUGGUCCUUCGCCUCU
RNAcentral lists this small RNA (178 nucleotides) under Chrysemys picta bellii (western painted turtle). Its description in RNAcentral is "TUC338 (ENSCPBG00000017720.1)". Lineage: Eukaryota; Metazoa; Chordata; Testudines; Emydidae. The record is from RNAcentral.